This is an RNA transcript of Drosophila guanche, 2133 nucleotides long. RefSeq lists it as uncharacterized. The transcript has 4 exons. NCBI's taxonomy places the organism in Eukaryota, Metazoa, Arthropoda, Insecta, Diptera, Drosophilidae. The record is from RefSeq and is a predicted model, not a curated record.
GAUCCUCGGAUUCCAGACGACAGAGUUUGAGUCUUCAGAAUAUCAGGAGCUGAAAGAAGAAAUCGGCAAGAAUCAAGACAUGUUGCCUGACCUACGAGUGGAAGGGGAUGUGAUAUUCAAGCGGAUGGCUUACACGCAAAUGGACGACCAAGUGGAAGGGACCAUUUGGAAAUUAUGGAUUCCCGCGUCUCUGACGGAAACUCUUAUCUCCAAGGCCCACGAAGACCACACAGCUGGACACGGUGGACUUAAAAAGACCUUGCAUCGGCUAAGAAGGCAAUUCUACUGGCCAGCGAUGACGACACAAGUGCGGGAGUUUGUCCGGAACUGCGAUGCUUGUAAGGAGUCCAAAGCACCCAAUUAUCGAAGCCAGGUAGGGAUCGGUCAGGAAGUCGUAACGGAGAGGCCAUUCCAGAAAUUAUACAUCGAUUUCCUGGGAAAGUAUCCUCGGUCGAAAAGGGGACAAGCUUGGAUUUUUGUCGUCGUAGAUCACUUCUCUAAAUUCACCUUUCUCAGAGCGAUGAGAGAGGCGACCGCUGCGAACGUAGUUCAAUUCCUAGUACAGGAAGUGUUCUACAAGUUUGGGGUGCCCGAGGUGAUCCACUCCGACAACGGAAAGCAGUUCCUGUCGAAGAUCUUCCAGGACAUGAUGAGCACCUUCGGCGCCCGACAUCUGCGCACAGCAGUCUACUCACCACAGAGCAAUGCCGCCGAGAGGGUGAACCGGACAAUAUUAGCUGCAAUCAGGACGUAUUUAGAGAAGGAUCAUCGAGACUGGGAUAUGUACCUACCGGAGAUUGAAGUGUCGAUCCGUGACUCAGUGCACGAAGCCACAGGCGUGACGCCGUUUUUUGCAGUUUUUGGACAGCAAAUGUUCCUUAAUGGGAACUGCUAUAAGUUGGCGAGGAAGCUGCAGUCGCUGACGGAGCAUGAGGUGCACGCGUUGAACCCCGCGGAUAAGUGCCACAUCAUCCGGGAACGUAUCAAGGCCAACCUUCACCAAGCGUACGAGCGCAGCAGCCAGCGCUACAACAAACGGGCCCGAAUAUUUUUCGCCAAACCUGGGCAAGAAGUAUACAGACGCAACUUCACCCUCAGUGACUUUGGGAAGAGCUACAACGCCAAAUUCGCCCGGAAGUUCCUGAAGUGCCGAGUCGUACGUCCGGUUGGAAAUAAUGCCUACGAACUUGAAGACCUGGCGGGGAAACCGGUGGGGAUUUUUCACGCCAAAGACCUGAAAUUGUAGUGGGAAAGCUUUAGAAGGAGAAGGGAAGAAGAAUAGGGCACUCAUGUACAAACCGAGUGGGUGUGAGCCUACGUUGGGCGCUGCAAGACCUUAGGGCAAGCGUUAGGUUUCAAUGUCCUUCGAGUGUUUGCGAAUAAUUCUUCCGUCCAGGCACGCCUGAAUUUUCGCUAGGUGUUGCAUUCGAAGGAGAGCGAUAUGCAAAAUACUAGAUUUGGUAGUAUUUUUUUGGAGGUUGAUAGGUCGAUAGGCGAAGGGGCAAGGCGAUCAACGGUGCCGGUGAGAGAGCGGGAGAAUGUAAAGGAGGGGAAUAUUGCGGGAUCCACGAGCCAGCUCACCCACACCCUCAAGAAUGCCAUGCUAUGCCCUUGAAUUUGGUUCAAGGGCAGUAGAAGAGAUGAGAUCAACUGCAGCAAGGGGGACUGCGUAGAGUAGCUACGCUGAACAUGCCGGCAGUGGAAAAAUAGACAUCGGCAGUGUUAGUGAGUUUUGUGUGUGUGACCGUUUAGGAAAAAGAAAGACCGGCCAACGUAGAGGACCCUUUUACCCGAAUCGAAAUAAAAAGGCAUAAAUUGUAUCGGCUGGCUUCUCGUAGAUGGGCCAAAAUUACCAUUCCCCGGCCCGCGGAAUCCUGGUCACACCCCUGCUCGGGCGCGACCCGCCACACUUGUAGCUGCGACGUUGGCAGAGGCCUGGGACUUCGAGACGCACAUUUACCGCAAAUCCUCUCCCGUGUCUACAUAUAUGGUCAGGGAAAUGAUGGCAGUAAGACGAGAACUGUCGAUGAAUCGCUCUUGUUUCCUCUGAUGUGGCAACGCUUCCUUUGAUUUCUGCUCUGCACAACACUUCGCCCACGCGCUAAAUAACAUACAAAUUGGGCUAUUUUAUUA